AGCUCCAAUAGCGUAUACUAAAGUUGUUGCAGUUAAAAAGCUCGUAGUUGAAUUUCUGGUCUUGGACGGCGGUCUACCACAAUUGUGGUACGUACCAACUGUCCGAGUCCAUCCUCGGGGAAAACAUGCCUGUGAUUCAGUUCAUGGGUAUGGGAUCCUCGUCAUUUACUGUGAGCAAAAUAGAGUGUUCAAAGCAGGCUUAUGCCGUUGAAUACAUUAGCAUGGAAUAAUAAGAUAGGACCUUGGUCUAUUUUGUUGGUUUGUACUCCAAGGUAAUGAUUAAUAGGGAUAGUUGGGGGUAUUCGUAUUCAAUUGUCAGAGGUGAAAUUCUUGGAUUUAUGGAAGACGAACUACUGCGAAAGCAUUUACCAAGGAUGUUUUCAUUA
This 386-nucleotide ribosomal RNA is filed under the name Ochromonadales sp. RNAcentral describes it as "SSU rRNA". It matches the Rfam family "Eukaryotic small subunit ribosomal RNA", at positions 587 to 975 of the family's 1831-position model. Lineage: Eukaryota; Synurophyceae; Ochromonadales. The record is from RNAcentral.